Molecule: ribosomal RNA, 155 nt
Filed under: Nymphaea tetragona
Lineage: Eukaryota; Viridiplantae; Streptophyta; Magnoliopsida; Nymphaeales; Nymphaeaceae
Description: 5.8S ribosomal RNA
Rfam family: 5.8S ribosomal RNA
About the family: 5.8S ribosomal RNA (5.8S rRNA) is a component of the large subunit of the eukaryotic ribosome. It is transcribed by RNA polymerase I as part of the 45S precursor that also contains 18S and 28S rRNA.
Source: RNAcentral
GACUCUCGGCAACGGAUAUCUUGGCUCUCGUCACGAUGAAGAACGUAGCGAAAUGCGAUAGUUGGUGUGAAUUGCAGAAUCCCGUGAAUCAUCGAGUUUUUGAACGCAAGUUGCGCCCGAGGCCAUUCGGCCAAGGGCACGUCUGCCUGGGCGUC